AUAAAAACGAUGAUCGAGAAGAGUAGCUUGCCGAUCACCAUUCAGGGAGAAACGCCAUAGACUGCGAGCGUUUUAUGGUGGAAGCAAGUGAAUUCACCUCGGGAGUUGGCGCUUGGACCAUUUUGCGCAUGCAAAUGUAAAGGCGUUCCGGUGUAAACCGUUAUCUGAAUGAAGUGAGCUAUGCGAACGACAUAGCUAACAAGGGUGGUACCGCGAGUGCACUCGUCCCUUAU
RNAcentral lists this non-coding RNA (233 nucleotides) under Anoxybacillus flavithermus. RNAcentral's name for it is "T-box sequence". It matches the Rfam family "T-box leader". Rfam says of the family: Uncharged tRNA acts as the effector for transcription antitermination of genes in the T-box leader family. T-boxes are found upstream of many aminoacyl-tRNA synthetase genes and some amino acid biosynthetic genes usually in Gram-positive bacteria. The anticodon of a specific tRNA base pairs to a specifier sequence within the T-box motif, and the NCCA acceptor tail of the tRNA base pairs to a conserved bulge in the T-box antiterminator hairpin. The record is from RNAcentral. Lineage: Bacteria; Bacillati; Bacillota; Bacilli; Caryophanales; Anoxybacillaceae.